AUGCUCACCUCAGCAGCACAUAUACUAAAAUUGUAAUAAUAAAGAGAAGAUUAGCAUGGCCCCUUUAAAAGUCUUUAAUAAAAAGGUCGGGCAUGGUGGCUCAUGCCU
Molecule: small nuclear RNA, 108 nt
Filed under: Nomascus leucogenys (northern white-cheeked gibbon)
Lineage: Eukaryota; Metazoa; Chordata; Mammalia; Primates; Hylobatidae
Source: RNAcentral